AUUGAACGCUGGCGGCAGGCCUAACACAUGCAAGUCGAGCGGAUGAAGGGAGCUUGCUCCUGGAUUCAGCGGCGGACGGGUGAGUAAUGCCUAGGAAUCUGCCUGGUAGUGGGGGAUAACGUCCGGAAACGGGCGCUAAUACCGCAUACGUCCUGAGGGAGAAAGUGGGGGAUCUUCGGACCUCACGCUAUCAGAUGAGCCUAGGUCGGAUUAGCUAGUUGGUGGGGUAAAGGCCUACCAAGGCGACGAUCCGUAACUGGUCUGAGAGGAUGAUCAGUCACACUGGAACUGAGACACGGUCCAGACUCCUACAGGAGGCAGCAGUGGGGAAUAUUGGACAAUGGGCGAAAGCCUGAUCCAGCCAUGCCGCGUGUGUGAAGAAGGUCUUCGGAUUGUAAAGCACUUUAAGUUGGGAGGAAGGGCAGUAAGUUAAGACCUUGCUGUUUUGACGUUACCAACAGAAUAAGCACCGGCUAACUUCGU
RNAcentral lists this ribosomal RNA (483 nucleotides) under uncultured bacterium. RNAcentral describes it as "partial 16S ribosomal RNA". It matches the Rfam family "Bacterial small subunit ribosomal RNA", at positions 30 to 506 of the family's 1533-position model. The record is from RNAcentral.